CGUGCGAAGGAGCGGGGCACAGCUCAAAUUGAAAUCUUGACUCUGGUCGAAUGUAAUUGUAGAAGGUGCUUCGCGCGCGGCCCCGGUCCAAGUCCCUUGGAACGGGGCGUCGCAGAGGGUGAGAAUCCCGUACGCGGCCGGGACCAAGCCCGGGUGAAGCCCUUUCGAAGAGUCGAGUUGUUUGGGAAUGCAGCUCAAAACGGGUGGUAAAUUUCAUCUAAAGCUAAAUAUCUGCCGGAGACCGAUAGCGCACAAGUAGAGUGAUCGAAAGAUGAAAAGCACUUUGAAAAGAGAGUCAAACAGUACGUGAAAUUGUUGAAAGGGAAGCGCUUGCAACCAGACUCGUACGCGGGUGUUCAGCUACCCCCUGGGGUGGUGCAUUCUCCCGUGCUCGGGCCAGCAUCGGUUCCGGCGGCCGGAUAAAGGUCCCGGGAACGUAGCUCUCUUCGGAGUGUGUUAUAGCCCGGGGCGUAAUGCGGCCAGCUGGGACCGAGGAACGCGCAUUGCUAGGAUGCUGGCGUAAUGGUUGCCAGCGACCCGUCUUGAAACACGGACCAAGGAGUCGACCAACUGCGCAAGUGUUUGGGCGUUAAACCCUCACGCGUAAUGAAAGUGAACGGAGGUGGGAGCCCCCGGGUGCACCAUCGACCGAUCCUGAUGUCUUCGGAUGGAUUUGAGUAAGAGCGCCGCUGGUCGGACCCGAAAGAUGGUGAACUAUGCGUGGUAUUUUCAUCCGCCCCGGUUGACGCGAAUACAGCUAACGUUUUUUAGAAUAGGGUGAAGCCAGAGGAAACUCUGGUGGAGGCUCGCAGCGGUUCUGACGUGCAAAUCGAUCGUCAAAUUUGCGCAUAGGGGCGAAAGACUAAUCGAACUAUCUAGUAGCUGGUUCCCGUCGAAGUUUCCCUCAGGAUAGCAGCAACGAAAAAUUAGUCUCAUGAGGUAAGCUAAUUCGAGUCCCUAUUUUCUGCGACUUGGGGCUAAUAAUUUUGUAGGUAGAGCAAACGAUUAGAGGUCUUGGGGUUGAAUUCGACCUUAACCUAUUCUCGAACUUCGAAUAUGUGAGAAGUCCUUGUUACUUAGUUGAACGUGGACAUUGGAUAUAUCGUCUUUUGCCCG
Molecule: ribosomal RNA, 1116 nt
Filed under: Ampliotrema amplius
Lineage: Eukaryota; Fungi; Ascomycota; Lecanoromycetes; Ostropales; Graphidaceae
Description: LSU rRNA
Rfam family: Eukaryotic large subunit ribosomal RNA
Source: RNAcentral